RNAcentral lists this ribosomal RNA (209 nucleotides) under Vibrio parahaemolyticus. Its description in RNAcentral is "partial 16S ribosomal RNA". It matches the Rfam family "Bacterial small subunit ribosomal RNA", at positions 1 to 207 of the family's 1533-position model. Lineage: Bacteria; Pseudomonadati; Pseudomonadota; Gammaproteobacteria; Vibrionales; Vibrionaceae. The record is from RNAcentral.
AAAUUGAAGAGUUUGAUCAUGGCUCAGAUUGAACGCUGGCGGCAGGCCUAACACAUGCAAGUCGAGCGGAAACGAGUUGUCUGAACCUUCGGGGAACGAUAACGGCGUCGAGCGGCGGACGGGUGAGUAAUGCCUAGGAAAUUGCCCUGAUGUGGGGGAUAACCAUUGGAAACGAUGGCUAAUACCGCAUGAUGCCUACGGGCCAAAGA